RNAcentral lists this transfer RNA (73 nucleotides) under Bacteroidales bacterium. Its description in RNAcentral is "tRNA-Ala". It matches the Rfam family "tRNA". Rfam says of the family: Transfer RNA (tRNA) molecules are approximately 80 nucleotides in length. Their secondary structure includes four short double-helical elements and three loops (D, anti-codon, and T loops). Lineage: Bacteria; Pseudomonadati; Bacteroidota; Bacteroidia; Bacteroidales. The record is from RNAcentral.
GGGGCAUUAGCUCAGUUGGUAGAGCGCUUGGUUCGCAAUCAAAAGGUCGAGGGUUCGACUCCCUUAUGCUCCA